UAGGGAAUCUUCCGCAAUGGACGAAAGUCUGACGGAGCAACGCCGCGUGAGUGAUGAAGGUCUUCGGAUCGUAAAACUCUGUUGUUAGGGAAGAACAAGUAUAAGGCGAAUAACCUUAUACCUUGACGGUACCUAACCAGAAAGCCCCGGCUAACUACGUGCCAGCAGCCGCGGUAAUACGUAGGGGGCGAGCGUUGUCCGGAAUUAUUGGGCGUAAAGGGUGCGUAGGCGGUCUUCUAAGUCUGAUGUGAAAGCCCCCGGCUUAACCGGGGAGGGUCAUUGGAAACUGGAAGACUUGAGUGCAGAAGAGGAGAGCGGAAUUCCACGUGUAGCGGUGAAAUGCGUAGAGAUGUGGAGGAACACCAGUGGCGAAGGCGGCUCUCUGGUCUGUAACUGACGC
Molecule: ribosomal RNA, 400 nt
Filed under: uncultured bacterium
Lineage: Bacteria
Description: bacterial SSU rRNA
Rfam family: Bacterial small subunit ribosomal RNA
Source: RNAcentral